CAACCNNCCAUCCAGUGGAGGAUAGCCUUUCGAAAGAAAGGAUAAUACUCCAUGACCUCCUCANAGGACAUCUGACGAGGAGCAAAGAUUCAUCGCUGGGUGAUGGGGAUGCGUCUGAUUAGGCAGUUGGCGGGGUAACGGCCCACCAAACCGACGAUCAGUAGGGGUUCUGAGAGGAAGGUCCCCCACAUUGGAACUGAGACACGGUCCAAACUCCUACGGGAGGCAGCAGUGAGGAAUAUUGGUCAAUGGACGGAAGUCUGAACCAGCCAAGUAGCGUGCAGGAUGACGGCCCUAUGGGUUGUAAACUGCUUUUAUACGGGGAUAAAGUGCGCCACGUGUGGAGCAUUGCAGGUACCGUAUGAAUAAGGACCGGCUAACUCCGUGCCAGCAGCCGCGGUAAUACGGAAGGUCCGGGCGUUAUCCGGAUUUAUUGGGUUUAAAGGGAGCGCAGGCCGGAAGCAAAGCGUGCCGUGAAAUGUAGAUGCUCAACAUCUGAAUUGCGGCGCGAACUGGUUUUCUUGAGUGCAUACGAGGUAGGCGGAAUUUGUGGUGUAGCGAUGAGAUGCUUAGAUAUCACGAAGAACUCCGAUUG
RNAcentral lists this ribosomal RNA (595 nucleotides) under uncultured Bacteroidota bacterium. Its description in RNAcentral is "bacterial SSU rRNA". It matches the Rfam family "Bacterial small subunit ribosomal RNA", at positions 122 to 715 of the family's 1533-position model. The record is from RNAcentral. Lineage: Bacteria; Pseudomonadati; Bacteroidota.